AUCAGAGCCCAGCUGGCUGACAGCUUGAUUUCAGCUUUGUGAAACUCAGAGCAGAGAAACCAGCUGAGCCCACCUGGACUUCCUACCCACAGAACUGUGGAGGAUGUAGAGAUCAGCCUAGAUGGUCUCUGCAUCCCUCACAGGAUUAAUAGUCUCUGUUUCUAACACACUAUGGACCUGCAUCUGAAGCACUGUCAAGCAGGACCAGGCAACCUGAACAGAUGCAAAGAGGAAGCUAAAAGCCAUAUCAAGAGGACGCUGAAGCAGCCUGCGGAGAGGCUCGAAUGAACAGGAACUGAGGCCUCCCACUACCAACCAGCACCAACUUGCCAGCCAGAGUAAGAAGGAGUCCACAAGCCGAGGCUGGACCAACUGCUGAAAGUCAGAGUCCUGGAGGCCUUCGGGGCAGACCCCAGCCAAUCUACGCAGAGCAGCCUGGGGAGAAGACAGAAGAGGUGACACAUGUCAGACUGGGCCAUGUCAGGCAUCUAAGUUUGCAACCUGUGAUUUACACCAUGGACUCUCAAAGCCCAGUCUGUACAACAAGAUUUGCCCUGUCCAGAUCUAAGAGGCCUGUCUUCCAGUAGACCCCAGUUGCAUUGACACCAUUGUUGAUUCCUCAAAUCCUGCCCUGCUUUGGAAAAUAGCCCCUUCAUUAAACUCUCUUCAGUCACAGGAAGCCGUCACCAUCUCUGCUCCCAGCUGUAAGGCAGCCACCUUAUCCUUUGGCUGAAACAGCUUAGAUCAGCUUCCAGGCCAAUGAAACCUGGCCCACCCCACCUGGACCUUGGCGACAUGUUCGGCACAAGAUGGAACAAGGGAGCAAGUGGGAGAAGAGAUGCACUCAUUGAGGGCUCAAGACAUUCAGGUUGCCCUGACCUGCUCUCCCAUUCUCACCCCUUCCUCAGCUUUCUACUGUGGCCAAAUGCAAUUAAGAUAGGAACAAUUUAAAGUUGGAAUGUAUCCCUUGGUAGGAAUAGAUUUUUUUUUUAUUUGAGGAUGAUAAUGAAAUAUUUGCCUUCUCCUCACGACCCUAUUAAAAUAGCAACCACCCCCACCCCCACCCUGAGACUACCUUACUCUUCUUCCCUGCUUCAUUUUCCCCAGGGCACUGUCACGCUAUCAUUGCUGGACAUUUGCUAUCUUCUUAUACAUUAUAUGUCUUCCACUAGAAUUUAGGCCUCACAAAAGCAAACAAAUAUUCACAUAUAUAGACCCAGUUGCACACAUACAAGCACACACAUAUAUGCUCAUGCAAGCGUGGAGACAUGUGUACCAAUUUUUUUUUUUUUUUUUUUUUUGGAGACAGUCUCGCUCUGUUACCCAGGCUGGAGUGCAAUGGCGUGAUCUCAGCUCACUGCAACCUCCGCCUCCCAGGUUCAAGUGAUUCUCCUGCCUCAGCCUCCUGGGUAGUUGAGAUUACAGGCGCCCACCACCACACCCAGCUAAUUUCUGUAUUUUUAGUAGAGACGGGGUUUCGCCAUGUUGGUCAGGCUGGUCUCCAACUCCUUACCUCAGUUGAUCCUCCCACCUCUGCUUCCCAAAGUGCUGGGAUUCAGGCGUGAUCCCUGCACCCGGCCACAUGUACCUAUUUACAUACCUGCACAGGCAGUCACACAAGCACAAAGACGCAGUCCCCUACAUCCAGAUAAUCCACAUAACAUGUACAAUGCUGCAAAGACAUACCAUUCUCCUGAAUGAUGUCAGAGGCACACUGUUCUAGGACAGACAUGUUUGCCAAGAUGGUCACAAUCUGGAAAAGAGAAUUUAGAAACUGAGAAAAUGAGCACACCUGAUCCUAAUGGUCCUCCCUACAGACAGGUCAGCCAGGGGCUACAAAGCUUCCUUUUAUCCCGUGACUCCUUCCUGUCCACUGGGCCUAUCCUUCCACGGCAUUUUCUUCCAUCUUUAUGGGCUCCUGCCACCCAGAUGUAUUUCCCUGGUGACUAAUGCCCAUUUACCAGCCUAUGGCUAUAGGACAGCCCCCGAGGACCCCAGGACACCUUGGAAAGACUAGCAUAACCCUGGGUGAAGUUGGGGCCCGGUUGUCUUUCUGCUCUGGUCCCCAGUCCUGAAAUGCAGACAGAACCAGCAGGUCCCUGGCCCCUCAAACUCGUCUGUGCUGGCCUGUCCUCCUGACAGCUAGCUCUUACUCUGGAUUGACUUCUUCCAUCCCAGCAUCUUUCCUGGAUACUAACCCUCAUCUACUUUCAACCUGUGAUGAAUGAAGGCUAAGGUCACGUUAGAGGGCAUGAGUAGGAAGAGGCAGUGUUAUCAAGCAUUGGGUAUUAUAUGGAAUCUGAUAAGAAAGUGCAUACUCAGCUGCACGUUACGAGUCUGUCGUAAGCCUCGCUCAUCAGUCAUCACUGAAAAUCUCUGCCUGUAGGCAAUGGGGUAUUGAUACCAGGUGGACAGUGAGUCUCAGUUACAGCUUUGUGGGUUGUAACCAGCCUCCCCUGGUACAGUCAAGGGAGAAAAGAACUCACAGCACAAACUAGAUUAAGGAAUGGCCUGACAGAGAACUCAUUCCAGGGAUCCCAAACUGCAAAAGGGUGCCAAAAUGCUACUGGAAUAGAUUGGAAACAUGGCACCUGUUAACUCAGAUACCACCCACAACACUGCUCCUGACAUAAAUAGCAAGAUGAAAAUUCACCCACUUUCACAGAAAUGGACAGCGCUCUCAAGUGGUAAUUAAAAUAAAUAAUAAAAUAAAAUUUAAAAACA
Molecule: long non-coding RNA, 2724 nt
Organism: Symphalangus syndactylus (siamang)
Lineage: Eukaryota; Metazoa; Chordata; Mammalia; Primates; Hylobatidae
Source: RefSeq, a predicted model, not a curated record